Molecule: ribosomal RNA, 497 nt
Filed under: uncultured bacterium
Lineage: Bacteria
Description: partial 16S ribosomal RNA
Rfam family: Bacterial small subunit ribosomal RNA
Source: RNAcentral
GAUGAACGCUGGCGGCGUGCCUAAUACAUGCAAGUCGAGCGAACGGACGAUAAGCUUGCUUCUCUGAUGUUAGCGGCGGACGGGUGAGUAACACGUGGAUAACCUACCUAUAAGACUGGGAUAACUUCGUGAAACCGGAGCUAAUACCGGAUGAUAUUUUGAACCGCAUGGUUCAAAAGUUAAUGACGGUCUUGCUGUCACUUAUAGAUGGUUCCGCGCUGGAUUAGCUAGUUGGUAAGGUAACGGCUUACCAAGGCAACGAUGCAUAGCCGACCUGAGAGGAUGAUCGGCCACACUGGAACUGAGACACGGUCCAGACUCCUACGGGAGGCAGCAGUAGGGAAUCUUCCGCAAUGGGCGAAAGCCUGACGGAGCAACGCCGCGUGAGUGAUGAAGGUCUUCGGAUCGUAAAACUCUGUUAUUAGGGAAGAAAAGAUGUGGAAGUAACUGUGCACAUCUUGACGGUACCUAAUCAGAAAGCAACGGCUAACUACGUG